This 74-nucleotide transfer RNA is filed under the name uncultured Methanobrevibacter sp. It matches the Rfam family "tRNA", at positions 6 to 65 of the family's 71-position model. From Rfam's summary of the family: Transfer RNA (tRNA) molecules are approximately 80 nucleotides in length. Their secondary structure includes four short double-helical elements and three loops (D, anti-codon, and T loops). Lineage: Archaea; Methanobacteriati; Methanobacteriota; Methanobacteria; Methanobacteriales; Methanobacteriaceae. The record is from RNAcentral.
GUGUGCCUGAGUGGUUAAGGGAACGGACUUAAAAUCCGUGGGUUAGUCCCUCGUGGGUUCGAAUCCCACCAUGC